This is a long non-coding RNA of Meriones unguiculatus (Mongolian gerbil), 2645 nucleotides long. RefSeq lists it as uncharacterized. The transcript is spliced from 4 exons. Lineage: Eukaryota; Metazoa; Chordata; Mammalia; Rodentia; Muridae. The record is from RefSeq and is a predicted model, not a curated record.
AGAGGGCAGGGAACAGAGUUGGCAUUCCUGGAGAGAAUCCUGGGAGCAGGCACGAGGGAACCGCCGGGGGCAGAAGGAUACAAAGACAGAGAAAAACAGAUGCAGAGAAAGAUCCUUCCUGCAGACAGGUCACACCUUUCAGAGGAUGGGUGGGGCUCUGUCUUUCGGACUCAAGCCCCAAAUGGGUGCAGACCCCCACACAAGGAGGCACCCCUGCCCUGACAGCCCCUGGCAUGGCUUCUGGCCUGGGUGGGCCCCUACCUCUUCCUCUGUGACCCAGGCCAGUAGAGUACUCAGUGCUGAGUGCAGCUCUGGGGUAGGUCUGAGCUCUUGGGGUCCUCUCCGUGCAGAGCAUCUACUCAGGGUUCUCUUGCCCGAUACUGGUCACAUAACCAACACUGGCUCGGGUGACAAAGAGCUGACUGCCCCCAGGCCUGGCCUCAUACAUCCCUGAGAACUGGGCCAACUCAGCCCGGGGCAGAGGCCAGAUGUCUGAAGAUGCCAGGCACUCGGGCUAAGCUCAUUUCUCGUUGGUGACGUGAGCGCCCCUGAAGUUAUCAAAGGUCUGAGAGACCAUCUGCCAAGAGGGAGGCAGAGAAGCUCUUCCUGCCUCUGUCCCUAGCCAGACUUCCCGCACCUUGCUGCCACCCUUCCAUCUCCAGGCCCUCCUGAUGCCACCUGGCCAGCUCUCUACUCACUGGCUAUCCCUACCUGGUCCCCAAGCCCUUAAGAGACACAGCAUGGAAUGCAGUAUCUGGGCCCGAGCACUCCACCGUAGCCUGGCUGCUCACACAAGCCCAGGCCAGUGGGACAGACCACCUGCCACCUGGUCACGAGGCUCCGCCCCUUGGAAAUCACUCUAGAUCUCACGUCCGAUCAAUGGCGAGCACACAUGCCUUAACUCAGCAUGCAUGUGACAAGACCGCUUGGUCACCCAGGGAGGGCUAGAGGAGACGGAGGAGCAGGUGUCAACUUACAAGAUCAGGGGCCUCGGAGUCCGGCUGCCUCUUCCUGAGGGAUGAAAACCUCUGCUGGCUGCGGGCGGAGAAGCGGCGGAAGGACUCCCGGCUGCGAGAGGCCAGGUGUCUGAAGGAGGAUGUGCGCUUGAAGGGGGUGCUGCGGACGGCAGGCUCCCCGCUCCGCUCGGCGCCCACCGUGGCCGUCACAAGGUGCAGGGCCUCUUGGAAGGACCUCCUCACCGUGCCCACCCACUGAGACAUGUGCGUCUGGGCCACCGAAAGCUUGUCACCCAGGUAAUCCAUGAGGCCAGCCUGGAGGAGGAGGGGGGUGCCAGGCGGAGGCAGUUAGGAGGCCAACGCUGCCAAGGUCCUGGUCCUUCUGUCGGUGGCGGUCCUUGGGGAGAAGUUCUGGGCUCCGAUGGAAAACCCGGCAGAGCACAUCAGCCCAAGUAAAGUAAACAUCGCCCGACAGGCAUCCGAGGGUCACAAAACAGGGACAGUGACGGGUCAGCUCGGGGCCACCAGGAGCAUCAAGUCAACCAACCAGGACGUCCAGUUCUAGUCCCCAGGGCCAGCCCUGCUGAAUUCAAGGAGCAGGAGGCUGUCCUUCUCACCUGAACUAGGCGGACCUCCAGUCCUCCCUCCGGAGCCGCUAAACCCGAAGCUGAACCUGCUGGCCAGCAGGCAGUGCACUCGCUUCCGGAGAGGCGGACACCCAGCCCGGGUCCCCUGGCCCGGCAGCCCAGAAUGACAUCAGCCCCCUGUCUUGGCGAGGGGCACACAGCCCAGGAAUGCAGGAGGGGCCUCGGGAGGUGGGGGAGGUGGCCGCCCAGGGAGCUGGCGUCAGCCCCAGUUUUGUUUUUUUUUUCCCCCUAAGUCUCAACUCGCUCGCUGUCCCUCGGGGACUUCAUGUGCCAGACUGCCUACCCAGCCCAGGCAGCACCGUGCAGAGACGUGGCUGCUGGGCGUGCGGGUGUGUUCGCAUGUGGGGGCACGUGCGUGGGAGGGAGGCGCGGCUGCCCCCGGGGGAGGGGGAGGGAUGCCGGAUCUGGUCUGUGCCUCUGGGGCUUCAGGUGGAGUCUGAGGACCUGUGGCUGGCUGUCGGUCUGUCUCCCUCUCCCGGCGGCACCCUUCUGCUUCCUCUCCCUGCCUCCGACUGCACUUGGCGAGCUCCAGGCUAAGCCUCCGCCAUCAGCUCCUCCUCCUUCCCCUUGCCCCCUCCCCCGACUACCCCUGCUGCCUCUCCUGGAGGACAGAGGGUGCAAGUGACCCGCCCUGAGCUCCCCACGGGGGUGGAGCUGGGGCUGGGGCUGGGGCUGAGGUGCCUGUAUUUUGGUACAGACAGGGGUUGCCAUGGGAACUUGGGGGCACAGCAUCUGCCCCUUCCCUAGGCUGGGCACAAGGUGCCAUGGGGAUGAUUCAGGAGAUCACGUGAAGAAAUGCCAGCUCUGAGAGGUAGAUUCAUUGGUCCAAGGUAAAGCUAUCAAAGUUUGCUUGAAAAUGCCUCCCUCUCCACUGCUGUGUGAUAGGUCUGACCUGCAACUUGCCCACUGUGAGGACUCAAAAAUAUUGACUUUUCAAAAGCCAGGCCAAAUCCAAGGUUGAAAUCCACAUCAGCCCAACUGCCUGGUGUGAUCUCUGUACCACCCCCUCACCUCUGUCCUGAAUAAAUAUUUGCUCUCUAGA